This 253-nucleotide ribosomal RNA is filed under the name uncultured bacterium. Its description in RNAcentral is "partial 16S ribosomal RNA". It matches the Rfam family "Bacterial small subunit ribosomal RNA", at positions 524 to 776 of the family's 1533-position model. The record is from RNAcentral.
UACGGAGGGUGCAAACGUUGCUCGGAAUUAUUGGGCGUAAAGCGCGUGUAGGCGGCUUUGCAAGUCGGGUGUGAAAGCCCUCGGCUCAACCGAGGAAGUGCGCCCGAAACUGCAUAGCUUGAGUACCGGAGAGGAUGGCGGAAUUCCCGAAGUAGAGGUGAAAUUCGUAGAUAUCGGGAGGAACACCGGUGGCGAAGGCGGCCAUCUGGACGGAUACUGACGCUGAGACGCGAAAGCGUGGGUAGCAAACAGG